Long non-coding RNA from Zonotrichia albicollis (white-throated sparrow), 1650 nucleotides. RefSeq lists it as uncharacterized. The record is from RefSeq and is a predicted model, not a curated record. NCBI's taxonomy places the organism in Eukaryota, Metazoa, Chordata, Aves, Passeriformes, Passerellidae.
GAAUCCAGCGCCCGCCCGCUCGCCUGCCCCCGGCGCACACCGGGCCCUACCGCUCGCCCCCCCCCGUGCUACGCGAGCCCCCGCAGGAGCUCCCCCGGGCCCCGGCAGCCCCGCGGGAACGCCCGGACCGCGGCGAGGGAGCGGCCGGGGCAGCGCGGCAGGGCCGAGACCACUUUCAUUGCCUGAAGAAGAAUUAUGAGCAAGAUAUGCAGUUUUUUACCCUUCUUAUUUCUGGAAGUUAAACACAGAACAGGUAGAACAGCUUUACUGAUUUUUAGUGACUGUUGGCAUAAAAAUUGGUUAUAUUUCAAUCCAUUAUCUCAAUAUUUUUUGUUUUAUCAUCUUGAAUAAGUAGCUGGAUAGCAAUUUAAAAAUAGAUAGAUGUUUGGCAUUUGGAAAAAAAAUUCUGUCAUGUAAUGAUUGAAUGAGACUAUAAUGUCUGUUAAAAUAAUAAAAAAUCUUUAAGUCUGCUGAGCUGAUAUGCCUAGCAGCAAUGUCAUUUCAGUUCUCUCCCUGCUAACUCCUUUAUUCAUCAUCUCUCCUUUUAUGCUUAAAAGAAGAUCCUUUAAGAUCAGAGAAUUUAGGUAUAAAUGGUCUCUGGUCUCAUAAUUUUGAUAUUUUCACAGUCAAAAUUGAAUUUGGACCAACUACUUCAUUAAUGCCAUGGGGGUUUUUGACUGUUACUACCAUGUGAAUCACUUAAAAUUGAAUAAAAAAGUGUAUCUCUCUUUUACAUAUGCCAAAUUUAAUGUGAAUUCUUGAAAGUAACUUUGAGGAAAAAUCAUUACAUUUAGUCAAUAAAAAUUAGGAUUCAGUAAGUCAAGUCAGGCAGCAGCAGUGGUUUUCAAACAGUUCUACAUUAAUGACCAAGAUCUCUGCCAAGAACUUCAUGAUGAAUCUUUUGGAAUUAAAAUGCAAAAUAGGAUGAGAUAAAGAGAAGGUUAAAGAGAACUUGGGUGAGACCUUAUCAGGUAAGAUUUUUCAUUACUCUCCUCUUGUGUAAUUUUUACUUUGAGUGCAAAUGGAUUGUAAAAGUUAAUGAUUUAAGAACAGCAGAAUCCCAUUAUGAAAUCCUGCUCAGUGUUUAAAUACAGCUUGAAAGAUUAAGAACAGGUGAUUCAUGCACUAUGUGUUGAAAAGUAGAUUAAUUACUAGUUUUCUGAUACAUUCUAUAAGAAUUUGUGAAUAAAAGUGCAGGACUCUAUUGGUUCUAUAGAAAAAAUGAAACCAUAUGUAAUUUGUACCAUUAUACUGACUUGAUCAUUACUAAUGAAAAGUAAAAAAAAAAUGGUGUCUCACUAGCUUGUAAAAUUUCUCAAAUACACACUUCUUCUGAAAUCUAGAGCUUGAGAAUUGUUAAAUAAGAACCUGACUUGGGCCAUUAAUAAACACUAUCUGUUCAAUGGUCAUAUAAGAUUUUUACAUUGAGAAAGAUCGUUUCAAUGCUAAAUUUUAUGGAUAGACUUUUAAAACCAAACAAUAUUCUCCCUUUUUUGAAGUGUUGUGACUGGUUGAAAUGUGUGCUUUUUCAUAGAGAGAGCCAGACAAUACCAUUUUUAGCAGUGUUUAUUUUUGUAAAAAAAAAAAGAAACCAAUGAAUUUGAAAGGAAGUCAUAUCUGUCUUUUGAUUGCACACUUUUUAAACAAAAA